This is a long non-coding RNA of Diceros bicornis minor, 3085 nucleotides long. RefSeq lists it as uncharacterized. The transcript is spliced from 3 exons. The record is from RefSeq and is a predicted model, not a curated record. Lineage: Eukaryota; Metazoa; Chordata; Mammalia; Perissodactyla; Rhinocerotidae.
GCCCAGCCCCUAGCACAGCCCUGUGCUAGACAAAGAGGUGCUCAAUCAAUAUUUGUCAAAAGACCUGAGCAUUCCAGCUUUGCCUUUUGAGCCUUUCCGCUUCCCAUCCCCACCCCGGAAGUUCCGUCUACUCUUCGGCUUUGUGAUGCAAUCUCCGAGGAAGAUUGAGAAGCCUGAGGUGGAAGAGGGAGAGCAACAGUGGAGGACGUGGUCGGAAGUGAGCGGUCGGUCUCCACAAGGAACGACAAGGAGGUAGGGGAAGAGGGAAACAGUUGUCCCGGUGGGAAAUGGGGGACCCUGGACAUGUCCUCUCGGGGGCUGAUGAAGCAGUGGCAACGCUGCUUGUGGGGCCUGCUGCCCCUCAGAACAGCCCCUGGGGGCUGUAGGCUGUCAAGCAGAGGCUCCUCCAGCAAGGCCCCUGUAGGUCUUGGGAAGCAUCUCCUCAGCACUUCUUCCCCUUCUCUUACAUGUGGACUAGUUACCUUGUUCUAGAAUCUGGGAAAGGAGACGGGUACAUGGGAAUGAAAAGGUAUGAAAAAAUCCUCUUGAUAAACGGCCCUCUGGGGGCCGGACCCCUGGAAAGUCCGGCGUCAGAGGGAAGGAAGGGGCUUCCUGGCUUCAGGACACCCUCAGCACUGUGCUGCCUGAGGGAACGCUUGAGUUCCUUCUGGCUAUGAAGAAGUUUGGAGUGGAUGCCCCUGGGAAAACUAUCUAGUGUAGACUCCUGUCUCUCAUUACUCAUUUAUAAUUAAAGAGUUGGGCUGCUUUCUCUGUGAGUGUCUACAGGAGGAUCUGACAUACCCUGAAUCAUCUCUCCUGUCUCCUGGUUCCUGCACAUAUUCACAGAUUAUUCUGCAGAUGCAGAAGUGAGGGCUCUUUUCCCUCCAGGGGCUGCGUGGGAGAAGGAUUCCUGGCCUCUCCACCCCAGCAAAUGCUGAGUCCUCUGCCUUCCCUGCCUCCUGGUCCCUAGGAGCUUGCAUUGCUAUUCUGUGAUUUGCAGUUCAGAGAGGGGGGGAGAGAGAGAGAGACGGAGGAGAGAGAGAGAAGCAGAAAAAGCAAGAGAGAGGGAAAGAUUCGAAGAUGCAAGAACACCAGCCCCUGGACACCAUCUGUGGGACAGCAGCCCUUUGUGUCAGGGGAGCAGGUGCUACAUUUUACAUCCGUAUGUCAGGAAUGGGGGGGUAUCCCAAUCCCCCGCCCAGGUGAGUUUCCUUACAAGACAUUGAGGGAAUUUCAUGGCCAGCUUGUGUGUGUGCCGCUUUGCUGCCAAUCUCAGAAAAGCUAACCCUUCACUCGAAGCUAGAAAACAUAAGGGCUCCAGGUUAUCUGCUCCCCUCCCUCGCCAUGCCCAGCCAGCGAUGACUGCUCCAGGUGUCUGCUCCUGUCCUGCAAGGUCUCUAGGCUUUCCCAGGGUUCAGCCACCUCCUGAGGUCAUGGGGCUGGGCAGGGGCAGCACAGGGCCUCUGACCAAGGUCAACCGUCUCUGGGAUCUGUGCUCUUAUCCACUGUGCUAUAUUGGCUCUGCAGAGGUGAGGCCUGGCAGGGAGAGGGAGAAGCACAGGCUGGAGCCUUUCCUCCUGCCAAGCUUCUUCGCUUGUCAGGACACGCAGGCAGUUUUAAACGUGAAAUUUCCAAAGUGGCGUGGGUGGGCAGUCUGGUGGCCUGGGAUACUUGGAGGUGUCCACACUGCCCUAAUGGAAAUGCCUUGGUAUUACAAAGACCUGUGCAGGUAACCGGGUUUCAUAAAAUAUAUGUUGCCCUCAGCUAAAAAGGCUUUGAAAAAUAGACUAGCUGUUGUGUAUCUAUGCCAGGUUAAUAGGGAUAUGGCCUGACUCAGUGAAUUUUGCUGGUUCUUGGUUCCCUGCUCCCUGCAGGCUGAGUUUUCGCCCUGCAGCACCAUCUGAGAAUCAGGAAGCAGAGAUGCUGGCAUGAAGCUGGCCGUGAGAGCAGGUAAAGGGCAGUUGCUUCUGAGGGUGAGAGGGUGGAGGUGUGAGCACGUCAGAGUUGUAAGGAUAGCUUCCCUUUCCACACCCCCAGAUGUUCAUGGUCUCAUCAAGUAACAUGGACACAGUAUCCCGCCACCAAAAUCAUUGGUUUGCAGUAGUAUUUCGUGUUCUUUUCUGCUAUUAGAUACAUUUCAUUUCUCCACGAGAGAUGAUAUUUAGGAAUUCUUAGGAUUGUGGGGGGAGCACCCUCUGGGCGCUUUUGAAAUCCUCCACUUUCUGCAUUUAAGAAGAGUUCCCCCCAGAGGCUGUGCAAGCAUUUGGGGGUCCUGAUAAUCCUUAUGGCCUUUAUUUACAUUUUUGGUGUGAAUAUGGAAAGUCUUACUUAGGGGGAAGUGUGGAUCAUGUGCCGGCGUGUUUACACAUUCCACAAACCCCACACAGGUUAUUUCACGUUUAUAAGAAGCAUCAGAGCCUGGUGUGCAGCUAGGGUUGAGAUGCGAGAGGCAUCCAUGUCUCUUAUGGGUGCCUUUACUCAUUCACCGCAAUUGGAUCCAUGCCUCUAACUGGCAGGAGUUGGGGCCACGGUGCAGAAGGAAAGCUGAUGCCCAGCAGGACCCUGCAUUCCAGGCACCUGUAGUCAGGUAGGGGAAGAAGAGGCCGGUACACAAACAGGUGAAAUGAAAGGAGGUCAUGACAGAGGUGGAGGACAGAGUCCCCUGCCUCCCCACUCAUGGAGGCACAUGGGAAUGAGGAACCUUGGGCUUCAGAUGCUAGUUUCUCAGCAAGGUACAGUGAAACCACUGCAUUUCUGUCCUCAGUUGCCCAGUUCCACUUGGGAAACGUAAUCAGUUUGUCUUCUUCCUCUCAGGACACAGCAGACACAGGGCUUGGAUUGUCAGCGUGAUGUUCCCUCCUUGUCCAUGGUAAUGAUGGCAUGUCUGGCAGACGAAGGUCUUUGAGUUGUGGUGAGAAAUGGAUAUCCCAGGGCAGCUGUGGGAGGGACAUCACUCCAUGCCGCCCAGACAUGGGAAGGGCACCCCUGGAGGAAUGAACACAGGUGGAGAGAGAGAUGGGGCCCCCUCUAUGAACAAGAUGGAAGAAGGGCUGGGAGGAGAAAAGGGUUUGCCCAGAGGAAGGGG